This 30-nucleotide non-coding RNA is filed under the name Rattus norvegicus (Norway rat). The record is from RNAcentral. Lineage: Eukaryota; Metazoa; Chordata; Mammalia; Rodentia; Muridae.
UUUUAGAGAGAUAUUCUUAUAUGGCCAUAC